This 817-nucleotide long non-coding RNA is filed under the name Felis catus (domestic cat). RNAcentral's name for it is "lncRNA (ENSFCAG00000051991.1)". The record is from RNAcentral. Lineage: Eukaryota; Metazoa; Chordata; Mammalia; Carnivora; Felidae.
GCCAGCAAGAAGCCCUCAGCCCUCCAAUAGCAAGGAACUGAAUUUUGCCAAUGAGGUAAGUGAGCUUAGAAGCAAGUUCUCACCCCGAUGAGACCACAGCCCCAGCAACUUUGAAGUCCUGCAAGGCUCAAAGCAGAGGAUCCAGCCAAGCCAUGCCUGAGUUCCUGACACACAGACACUGUGAGACAGUAAAUGUGUUGUUCUAAGCCAUUAAGUUUGUGGUAAUAUCAUCACACAACAAUAUAAAACAAACACUUUUUCCAUUGAAGGAAUUGAAAAUUUGAGGCACAUCUUUGGGAGCAGACUAUGCUCAAGAAAUUAUAAAAUUGGAAUAUCCACCAUCAUAUUGCUCAUGCAGGGGAUGAAGGUCAAGACAUGAAGCUGAGACGAUAUUUCUAAAAAUAAAGCGUCUCCUCCUUCUCUACCUGUCUCCGAAACUGGGUACUGAAACAAAGCCAGGAACACCCUUCGUAGCAACUCCCUCGCUGCCAGGAGAUUUGUUUUCAAAGCAUCUGACAAGCCACAUCCGAUUCAUCCUCAAAACUGACUUGUCAGGGGAAUAAACAAGUGUCAGAACUUCCCAAGAAAUCUAGUGAUGAAAAGGCCUUUAACGAUGAACAAAUUAAAUUCAGUUCUCACGCCAAGCAACAGAAAGAAAGCGAAGUGAAAAGCCACAGAAGACAAGCACAGCAACAAGUCGACCAUCAUUUCUGCCAUUGAAGGAGAAUGUUACCUGAGACCACCCUUGGUCACAACUCUAAGAUAUCCCUCGGUCUCCCUGAGGUGCGCUGUGCAGAGAUUGGACAUCACAAGCUUC